Molecule: long non-coding RNA, 235 nt
Organism: Sander lucioperca (pikeperch)
Lineage: Eukaryota; Metazoa; Chordata; Actinopteri; Perciformes; Percidae
Exons: 4
Source: RefSeq, a predicted model, not a curated record
GCUCUGUGAGACUGCACUUUGGCACAGCGGUGCUUUGAGAUAAAUGCUAUCAUUAGCAUGAUAAUAUGCUCACAAUUACAAUGCUAACAUAUGGAUUUUUAGCAAGUAUACUAUAUUCAGCAUAGUGUGUUAGCAUGCUAAAAAUGCUAAUUAACACUAAACAGAAACUAUAGCUGAGGCUGAUGGGAAUGUCAUUAGUUUUGGAGGUAUUUGUGUUUCCAAAUGAAACAGUGAA